AGCCAGACUCCUACGGGAGGCAGCAGUGGGGGAUAUUGCACAAUGGGGGGAACCCUGAUGCAGCGACGCCGCGUGGGCGAUGGAGUGCUUCGGCAUGUAAAGCCCUAUCAGCAGGGAAGAAAAUGACGGUACCUGACUAAGAAGCCCCGGCUAACUACGUGCCAGCAGCCGCGGUAAUACGUAGGUGGCAAGCGUUAUCCGGAUUUACUGGGUGUAAAGGGCGUGUAGGCGGGACUGCAAGUCAGAUGUGAAAAUUAUGGGCUCAACCCAUAACCUGCAUUUGAAACUGUAGUUCUUGAGUGAUGGAGAGGCAGGCGGAAUUCCGUGUGUAGCGGUGAAAUGCGUAGAUAUACGGAGGAACACCAGUGGCGAAGGCGGCCUGCUGGGCUUUAACUGACGCUGAGGCUCGAAAGUGUGGGUAGCAAACAGGAUUAGAUACCCCGGUAC
Molecule: ribosomal RNA, 447 nt
Filed under: uncultured bacterium
Lineage: Bacteria
Description: bacterial SSU rRNA
Rfam family: Bacterial small subunit ribosomal RNA
Source: RNAcentral